UUUAGGCUGGGUUUCUGUACAGCACUUUGAGAUAUCAGCUGAUGUACGAAGGGCUAUAUAAAUACAUUUGAUUUGAAUUGAUUUGAGGGUUGGGUGCUCUAGAUUAGUCAAGGACUGGAGGGUUGGGUCCUCCUCUAGAUUAGUGAAGGAGAGGAGGGGUGGGUCCUCCUCUAGAUUAGUGAAGGACUGGAGGGUUGGGUCCUUCCCUAGGUUAGUGAAGGACUGGAGGGUUGGGUCCUUCCCUAGGUUAGUGAAGGAUAGGAGGGUUGGGUCCUCCUCUAGAUUAGUGAAGGAGUGGAGGGUUGGGUCCUCCUCUAGAUUAGUGAAGGAGUGAAGGGUUGGGUCCUCCUCUAGAUUAGUGAAAGAGUGGAGGGUUGUGUCCUCCUCUAGAUUAGUGAAGGAUCGGAUGGUUAGGUCCUCCUCUAGAUUAGUGAAAAGGUGAAGGGUUCAGUCCUCCUCUAGAAUAGUGAAGGAUUGGAGGGUUCGGUCCUCCUCUAAAUUAGUGAAGGAGUGAAGGGUUGGGUCCUCCUCUAGAUUAGUGAAGGAGUGAAGGGUUGGAUCCUCCUCUAGGUUACUGAAGGACCGGAGGGUUUGGUCCUCCUCUAGAUUAGUGAAAGAGGGGAGGGUUCGGUCCUCGUCUAGAUUAGUGAAGGACUGAAAGAUUGGGUCCUCCCCUAAGGUUAGUGAAUGAGUGAAGGGUUGGGUCCUCCCCUCGGUUAGUGAAGGAGUGAAGGGUUGGGUCCUCCUCUAGAUUAGUGAAGGAUUGGAGGGUUGGGUCCUCUAAAUUAGUGAAGGAGUGAAGGGUUGGGUCCUCCUCUAGAUUAGUGAAGGAUUGGAUACUCCUCUAGGUUAGUGAAGGAGUGGAGGGUUGGGUCCUCCUCUAGAUUAGUGAAGGAGUGGAGGGUUGGGUCCUCCUCUAGAUUAGUGAAGGAGUGGAGGGUUGGGUCCUCCUCUAGGUUAGUGAAGGAGUGGAGGGUUGGGUCCUCCUCUAGAUUAGUGAAGGAGUGAAGGGUUGGGUCCUCCCCUAUGUUAGUGAAGGAGUGGAGGGUUGGGUCUUCCUCUAAUUUAGUGAAGGAGUGGAGGGUUGGGUCCUCCUCUCAUUUAGUGAAGGAGUGGAGGUUUGGGUCCUCCACUAGGUUAGUGAAGGAGUGGAGGGUUGAGUCCUCCUCUAUAUUAGUGAAGGAGUGAAGGGUUGGGUCCUCCUCUAGAUUAGUGAAAGAGUGGAGGGUUGGGUCCUUCAUCUAGAUUAGUGAAGGACUGGAGGGUUUGGGUCCUCCUCUAGAUUAGUGAAGUAGUGGAGGGUUUGGGUCCUCCUCUAGAUUAGUGAAGGACUGGAGGGUUUGGGUCCUCCUCUGGUUUAGUGAAGGAGUGGAGGGUUUGGGUCCUCCUCUGGUUUAGUGAAGGAGUGGAGGGUUUGGGUCCUCCUCUGGUUUAGUGUAGGACUGGAGGGUUUGGGUCCUCCUCUAGAUUAGUGAAGUAGUGGAGGGUGUGGGGCCUCCUCUAGAUUAGUGAAGGAGUGGAGUGUUUGGGUCCUCCUCUAGAUUAGUGAAGGAGUGGAGGGUUUGGGUCCUCCUCUAGAUUAGUGAAGGAGAGGAGCGUUUGGGUCCUCCUCUAGUUUAGUGGAGGGUUGGGUCCUCCUCUAGAUUAGUGAAGGAGUGGAGGGUUUGGGUCCUCCUCUAGAUUAGUGAAGGAGUGGAGGGUUGGGUCCUCCUCUAGAUUAGUGAAGGAGAGGAGCGUUUGCGUCCUCCUCUAGUUUAGUGGAGGGUUGGGUCCUCCUCUAGAUUAGUGAAGGAGUGGAGGGUUGGGUCCUCCUCUAGAUUAGUGAAGGAGUGGAGGGUUGGGUCCUCC
This is a long non-coding RNA of Oncorhynchus tshawytscha (Chinook salmon), 1848 nucleotides long. The record is from Ensembl. NCBI's taxonomy places the organism in Eukaryota, Metazoa, Chordata, Actinopteri, Salmoniformes, Salmonidae.